CUCUAGCAUAAAGUAUUAAAGGUGACGCCUGCCCAGUGAUAUAUUAAACGGCCGCGGGAUCUUACACCGUGCAAAGGUAGCAUAAUCACUUGUCCCCUAAAUAGUGACUAGUAUGAACGGCCAAAUGAAGACUUAACUGUCUCUUAUAGUCAAUCUAUGAAACUAAUCUUUCAGUACAAAAGCUGAAAUUAAAACAUAAGACGAAAAGACCCUGUGGAACUUUAAGCAACACCCAACCAUUAUGGACUUUAAUGCUUUUAGUUGGGGCAACUUUGGAAAAAAACAAAACUUCCAAUACAAGACACAAAUUAACACAUUUAUGUCCACCUACAUGACCCAGUACCACUGACUAAAGAACCAAGCUACCCCAGGGAUAACAGCGCCAUCCCCUCUUAGAGCCCAAAUCGACGAGCGGGGUUUACGACCUCGAUGUUGGAUCAGGGCCCCCAAACAGUGCAACAGCUGUUAACGGUUUGUUUGUUCAACAAUUAAAGCCCUACGUGAUCUGAGUUAAGACCGGAGUAAUCCA
Molecule: ribosomal RNA, 529 nt
Filed under: Riama unicolor
Lineage: Eukaryota; Metazoa; Chordata; Lepidosauria; Squamata; Gymnophthalmidae
Description: partial 16S ribosomal RNA
Rfam family: Bacterial large subunit ribosomal RNA
Source: RNAcentral